CCUACGGGAGGCUGCAGUAGGGAAUUUUCGGCAAUGGGGGGAACCCUGACCGAGCAACGCCGCGUGAAGGAAGAAGGAAUUCGUUCUGUAAACUUCUGUUAUAAAGGAAGAAAGACGGAUGGAGGAAAUGACAUCCGAGUGACGGUACUUUAUGAGAAAGCCACGGCUAACUACGUGCCAGCAGCCGCGGUAAUACGUAGGUGGCAAGCGUUAUCCGGAAUUAUUGGGCGAAAAGAAGGAGCAGGCGGCAGCAAAGGGCUGUGGUGAAAGACUGAAGGUUAACUUCAGUAAGCCAAAGAAAACGGGGAGCUAGAGUGCAGGAAAGGGUCGUGGGAUUCCAUGUGGAGCGGUUAAAUGCG
This 359-nucleotide ribosomal RNA is filed under the name uncultured bacterium. Its description in RNAcentral is "partial 16S ribosomal RNA". It matches the Rfam family "Bacterial small subunit ribosomal RNA", at positions 338 to 690 of the family's 1533-position model. The record is from RNAcentral.